GACGAACGCUGGCGGCGUGCCUAAUACAUGCAAGUUGAGCGCUGAAGGUUGGUACUUGUACCAACUGGAUGAGCAGCGAACGGGUGAGUAACGCGUGGGGAAUCUGCCUUUGAGCGGGGGACAACAUUUGGAAACGAAUGCUAAUACCGCAUAAAAACUUUAAACACAAGUUUUAAGUUUGAAAGAUGCAAUUGCAUCACUCAAAGAUGAUCCCGCGUUGUAUUAGCUAGUUGGUGAGGUAAAGGCUCACCAAGGCGAUGAUACAUAGCCGACCUGAGAGGGGGAUCGGCCACAUUGGGACUGAGACACGGCCCAAACCCCUACGGGAGGCAGCAGUAGGGAAGCUUCGGCAAUGGACGAAAGUCUGACCGAGCAACGCCGCGUGAGUGAAGAAGGUUGUCGGAUCGUAAAACUCUGUUGGUAGAGAAGAACGUUGGUGAGAGUGGAAAGCUCAUCAAGUGACGGUAACUACCCAGAAAGGGACGGCUAACUACGUG
RNAcentral lists this ribosomal RNA (497 nucleotides) under uncultured bacterium. Its description in RNAcentral is "partial 16S ribosomal RNA". It matches the Rfam family "Bacterial small subunit ribosomal RNA", at positions 28 to 507 of the family's 1533-position model. The record is from RNAcentral.